This is a long non-coding RNA of Quercus robur (English oak), 196 nucleotides long. RefSeq lists it as uncharacterized. NCBI's taxonomy places the organism in Eukaryota, Viridiplantae, Streptophyta, Magnoliopsida, Fagales, Fagaceae. The transcript is spliced from 3 exons. The record is from RefSeq and is a predicted model, not a curated record.
CUCUCCACCUCUCUCUGGGCCUCAGUUAUCUGUUUUUUUGUUCUCUCUUUGAACAAGACCAAAAACCCAGUUGGAGUUUUGUAGUUUCAAACCGCCAGAUCUGUUCUACAGUGCUAGAUCGGGUUUUUGGUUGUUGUUAUGUGAGAUUUGGGAGCUGGGUUUUGUGUAGGAGGUUGUUUGUGAUGGUGGGUGUGGA